This is a non-coding RNA of Pelodiscus sinensis (Chinese soft-shelled turtle), 369 nucleotides long. The record is from RefSeq and is a predicted model, not a curated record. Lineage: Eukaryota; Metazoa; Chordata; Testudines; Trionychidae.
AGACAACAUGUGGGCAAACCUGUAGUUACCAUCUCCUACUUUUUCACUUGGACUUUGUUAAUGAGCAGCCUUGACCCUGUUUCAGGUCAUCUUGUAUUUGCAGCACAAGUCUCAUCAUAGCCAGAAACAGAAAUGGCAGCUAUGUAUGCACUAAAGUCCAAGGAAAUACCACUACCUGGGCCGGUUCCACCCGUUCCCUCUGUCUCACUUGUGGCAGUGAUCCUACAAAAGUCUGCACUAUUUCCAGUGAGAGAAGUGGCCCCUGAAGCACCUCUGAUAGCAGGAACAGCAGCCAGGUUGCUGUGCACUUCCAUGGCUCCAACAUCUAUCCACCUGGCACAGAUCCGCAGGUAAAAAUGGACAAGGGAG